UUAUGCUUCCUUUUUUCUCUCCUACCAAAUUUAAAUUAUAUUUAUUUUUAGUAUCCCUACGUUCGUGGGUAUAGGAGGACAGCUCCCGAUCGAGAUUUAGUCUUAGAACGGCAUGUAACUUUCUUCCAAAUUUUUAUUUAGUUUUUCAUUUUAUUUUAAUCAUGUUAGUUUUUUAAAUUCUGCUCUAACAUAAGAUUUUUUUAGCUUUCCUUGGGUCUUUGUAAACUUUAUUUUAGUCUUUUCAUUUUAAUUAUGUUAGUGUUUUAUUAUUAUUAUUAUUAGUAUUAUUAUUAUUAUCAAAAACUCAACUCUAAAAUCUAUACCGCUGACACUAAUGAAAAGAAAAAAAAAAAAAGGAGUUUUGAUGAGUUGGAGGUGCAGUCGUCAAAACCACCUCUUUCUGCAUUUCUGAAGUUGCAAAAUUAAGAAACGUAGGUUUCUGUUUUUAUCAAGAAAAAUUGAAUAAUACGACUCACAAUAUAAUGUGUCCAAUGAUGGGAUCGGAUGAACCGAGAAACACGUGGCAAGGUCAGUAAUUAAGUUGUUCAUUAGGCUUUCUUAUUUCUUUUUAUAUUCAACGGAUGCAUGGUGGGUAUAUCGUUUCACUUCUACCUACGUGUUCCUUUGGGUUGGUGGAGUCGAUUGUAUUACAUGUGUUAGUCUACUAGUAUACUUUAUUCGUAUCACAAGUAAAUAUAUCGGUUCAAAUUUAGGAUCCCUUCAUAUUUUUUAUUUAUAUACUAGUAUAUCUAAAUAAUAAUAAUGAUAAUAAUAAUAAAGAUAAAUAAAAUAAUCAUCGACCAAAGUUAAUAGAAGAUACAUCCACAUGUAAAUAGAAUGAAUUUUUUUAUUUUGGCUUAGCACAUGUAAUGUAAUCCCACUCCACUAGAGUUAAGGAACACGUAGGUAGGAGUUGAAACGAUACACCGACAAUGCAUCCGUCGAAAGGGCUCAUCUUGAUGCUUUAAGAGUCACACGUAUCCGAGAUCUACAGAGCCAUGAUGAUGCACAUCGUCCGACUUGGUAAUGGGCCUCAGUUUCGAUGACUCGGCCCAUUAACUCCUACCAAUUUAUAUUGCAUGUCAAGGCCUUAAUUCGCUUCAACGUUGUACAUCAUAUGAAGAGGAUCCUUGGUCUUAUCUGGACGGUCCAGAUUUGUAUUCUUUCCAGGUCGGAUCGUAUCCUCAAUCUUGAAGCGACGUAGCUUGCGCCGCCACUUACCGCGCUCCGCCUUCGGUUCUCUCGGCCCUUUCUAAAGCCCUAACGCUCGCCGCCUCAGUCGCAGUGCUUGCACGCCAUCUCUCUCCCGUUGCUCCGAAUGGCGUGGCGCGGAUCGAUCUCGAGAUCGAUGCUUGCCGCUGCGCGGUCCUCGUCCCCCCGAUCGCCGCCUCCGGUAACCCGCCUCCGCCCUGCGCUUGUUUCCGGUCCCCGCGUCCAGCGCCACCGCCUCUCCUUCGGCCCUCCCAGAUCUCUUGGAGCAUUAGGAUGCGCGCAGUCCUUCCUUCCGCUUUACAGCGUGGUGGCCGCUCCGUGCCUCACCUCUCACCUGUCGGUCAGCGCGAGAGCGUGCUGUGAGCUCUCUCAGGGUACCUUCUGUCGCAUUUGUCAAGAUCGCUAGGAAAAAUGGAAAAGAUGGUUGAUGAAGAGACAGGGCGUCGUUCAGUGGGAAGCACUGUUUAAGCUGAUGUACUUGAAGAAAUAAGGAUCAAUUGCAUGGAUGGUAAAUGGAUGACUCUUGGUACGUGUAGAACAAGAACCUGCUUAAGGAUUGACUGGAAGAUGAGGAGAUACUGCAAGUGCUUUUUGAUUGUUUCACCAGUUUUGAGUUUUAUUUUCCAGGAGUUCAAGAAUAAGUGUCACUUGUGCUUCUGGUAGACAAUCCUCUGGGAUUAUUAUGUCAUGUUCAUUCCACUCGGGUUUUCAGUGGCUGCUUUCAUCA
Molecule: RNA transcript, 1939 nt
Organism: Musa acuminata AAA Group (dessert banana)
Lineage: Eukaryota; Viridiplantae; Streptophyta; Magnoliopsida; Zingiberales; Musaceae
Exons: 4
Source: RefSeq, a predicted model, not a curated record